This 113-nucleotide ribosomal RNA is filed under the name uncultured bacterium. Its description in RNAcentral is "partial 16S ribosomal RNA". It matches the Rfam family "Bacterial small subunit ribosomal RNA", at positions 1369 to 1482 of the family's 1533-position model. The record is from RNAcentral.
CGUUCCCGGGUCUUGUACACACCGCCCGUCACACCAUGGGAGCGGGUUUUACCAGAAGUAGGUAGCUUAACCGCAAGGAGGGCGCUAACCACGGUAGGAUUCGUGACUGGGUG